UGGGUCUCGAUACGUUCUUUU
Molecule: non-coding RNA, 21 nt
Filed under: Arabidopsis thaliana (thale cress)
Lineage: Eukaryota; Viridiplantae; Streptophyta; Magnoliopsida; Brassicales; Brassicaceae
Source: RNAcentral